UACGGGGGGGGUAAGCGUUGUUCGGAAUUACUGGGCGUAAAGGGCUCGUAGGCGGCCAACUAAGUCAGACGUGAAAUCCCUCAGCUUAACUGGGGAACUGCGUCUGAUACUGGAUGGCUUGGAUUCGGGAGAGGAAUGCGGAAUUCCAGGUGUAGCGGUGAAAUUCGUAGAUAUUGGGAAGAACACCGGUGGCGAAGGCGGCGCUCUGGACCGAGACUGACGCUGAGGCGCGAAAGCGUGGGGAGCAAACAGG
Molecule: ribosomal RNA, 253 nt
Filed under: uncultured bacterium
Lineage: Bacteria
Description: partial 16S ribosomal RNA
Rfam family: Bacterial small subunit ribosomal RNA
Source: RNAcentral